AUACUUACCUGGUACGGGAGGCACCGUGAUCAGCAAGGCGGUCCUCCCAGGGUGAGGCCUUUCCAUUGCACACCGGAUUGGCUGACCCCUGCGAUCGCCCCAAAUGUGGGCGACUCGAGUACGUAAUUUUUUAGUGUGGGGGACUGCGUUCGCGCUAUCCCCUG
Lottia gigantea (owl limpet) is the source of this 164-nucleotide small nuclear RNA. It matches the Rfam family "U1 spliceosomal RNA". From Rfam's summary of the family: U1 is a small nuclear RNA (snRNA) component of the spliceosome (involved in pre-mRNA splicing). Its 5' end forms complementary base pairs with the 5' splice junction, thus defining the 5' donor site of an intron. There are significant differences in sequence and secondary structure between metazoan and yeast U1 snRNAs, the latter being much longer (568 nucleotides as compared to 164 nucleotides in human). The record is from Rfam. Lineage: Eukaryota; Metazoa; Mollusca; Gastropoda; Lottiidae.